RNAcentral lists this ribosomal RNA (447 nucleotides) under uncultured bacterium. Its description in RNAcentral is "partial 16S ribosomal RNA". It matches the Rfam family "Bacterial small subunit ribosomal RNA", at positions 329 to 793 of the family's 1533-position model. The record is from RNAcentral.
CCCCAGACUCCUACGGGAGGCAGCAGUGGGGAAUAUUGCACAAUGGGGGAAACCCUGAUGCAGCGACGCCGCGUGAGCGAUGAAGUAUUUCGGUAUGUAAAGCUCUAUCAGCAGGGAAGAGAAUGACGGUACCUGACUAAGAAGCCCCGGCUAACUACGUGCCAGCAGCCGCGGUAAUACGUAGGGGGCGAGCGUUAUCCGGAUUUACUGGGUGUAAAGGGAGCGUAGACGGUUCUGCAAGUCUGAAGUGAAAGCCCGGGGCUUAACCGCGGAACGGCUUUGGAAACUGUGGAACUGGAGUGCGGGAGAGGCAAGCGGAAUUCCUAGUGUAGCGGUGAAAUGCGUAGAUAUCAGGAGGAACACCGGUGGCGAAGGCGGCCUGCUGGACUGCGACUGACGUUGAGGCCCGAAAGCGUGGGGAGCAAACAGGAUUAGAUACCCCAGUAC